CAACUGCGCAUGCACUGAACGGGAAAGGUGACAACGUGAAUUGUUAAUCACAUUGAGAUACAGUUUAAUCUUUUAAUAUUACCUUUACCUAUUCAUCUUGUGUGUGAAUGUGAGGGCCGGUCACAGGUACAACCCAGAGAUAUAUCAGAGGUCAGAGAACAACUCACAGGAGUCAAUUCUCCCCUUCUGUCAUGUGGCUUCCUGGGACUGGAUGUAGGGUGCGCACACUUCAGUGAUACACUUUUUCCUUUUUGAUUGUUUUUGCACUUUUUGCUUUGUCUUGGUUUGGUUUUUUUGAAACAGGGUUUCUCAAUUGGCCAUGCUGGCAACAUGACUUAUCUAGAGCCACAGAUUUAAAUGAAACUCUCUCUCUUGUUUUCAACGGAAUAAACUGUUCUCUCCCUUAGCAGUUUAACAGUUCCCUUCUUUCCGUUGCGUGUUUGAAGACCACCUUGACAUGUGAUGCAGAAACAUUCUGCUUUUGGGGGUUCAAGGAAGGCACACCCCAUCUGCCUCUGGCCUGCCCACUGUGCUCACUUGGAAACGCAGAGAGGCAGAUGUCACUGUCAGAAUGAGGAAAGGGUGGGGCUAAAGAUGUCCCACACCUGAAUUACACUUCCAUAUAAGCCAGGACAAGCCUUGCUGCCGCAGUCAGGGCCUGCACACCACAACAUCUGCAACAGCAGCUAGGAUUAGUAUCAAUAAUUACAAAAUAGAACACUGCUGUAAUAAAAGAUGUUGAAACUUGCAAUUUUUUUUUAUUUCUAGAACUUUCCAUCUGACAUUUUCAGACCAUGGUUGACCAGACAUAACUGAAAUGGUGGCUAAGAGGGCAAGGACUACUGCAUGUUAAAAGCCAAUAUUUCCUCCACGGUCACCAUCACAGACUUGGCAGGACUCACGUCCUGUUGACAAGUUCAGCUUCAGUGGGACAAACAGCAAGCUGACAUUCUGGAAGACAGACUGUCCCCCAGGAGGUUCAACAUGGAGGCCAGAGAGGAUGAAUGAGGGCAGAGUGUGUGUAUCCACUUAUUUGUUGAUGAUUACUUGGAGUGUUUAAGAAUGUCACAUUUGGGGCUGGAGAGAUGGCUCAGCGGUUAAGAGCACCCGACUACUCUUCCAGAGGUCCUGAGUUCAAUUCCCAGCAACCACAUGAUGGCUCACAACCAUCUGUAAAGAGAUCUGAUGCCCUCUUCUGGUGUAUCUGAAAACAGCUACAGUG
Molecule: non-coding RNA, 1222 nt
Organism: Rattus norvegicus (Norway rat)
Lineage: Eukaryota; Metazoa; Chordata; Mammalia; Rodentia; Muridae
Source: RefSeq, a predicted model, not a curated record